UUAGCGGCGGACGGGUGAGUAACACGUGGAUAACCUACCUAUAAGACUGGGAUAACUUCGGGAAACCGGAGCUAAUACCGGAUAAUAUUUUGAACCGCAUGGUUCAAAAGUGAAAGACGGUCUUGCUGUCACUUAUAGAUGGAUCCGCGCCGCAUUAGCUAGUUGGUAAGGUAACGGCUUACCAAGGCAACGAUGCGUAGCCGACCUGAGAGGGUGAUCGGCCACACUGGAACUGAGACACGGUCCAG
This 248-nucleotide ribosomal RNA is filed under the name uncultured Staphylococcus sp. RNAcentral describes it as "partial 16S ribosomal RNA". It matches the Rfam family "Bacterial small subunit ribosomal RNA", at positions 92 to 334 of the family's 1533-position model. The record is from RNAcentral. Lineage: Bacteria; Bacillati; Bacillota; Bacilli; Caryophanales; Staphylococcaceae.